GAUGAACGCUGGCGGCGUGCCUAAUACAUGCAAGUCGAGCGAACAGACGAGGAGCUUGCUCCUCUGACGUUAGCGGCGGACGGGUGAGUAACACGUGGAUAACCUACCUAUAAGACUGGGAUAACUUCGGGAAACCGGAGCUAAUACCGGAUAAUAUAUUGAACCGCAUGGUUCAAUAGUGAAAGACGGUUUUGCUGUCACUUAUAGAUGGAUCCGCGCCGCAUUAGCUAGUUGGUAAGGUAACGGCUUACCAAGGCAACGAUGCGUAGCCGACCUGAGAGGUUCAUCGGCCACACUGGAACGGAGACAGGGUCCAGACUCUUACGGGAGGCAGCAGUAGGGAAUUUUCCGCAAUGGGCGAAAGCCUGAGGGAGCAGCGCCGCGGGAGUGAAGAAGGUCUCAGGAUCGUAAAACUCUGUUAUUAGGGAAAAACAAAUGUGUAAGUAAAUAUGCACUUCUUGAGGGUACCUAAUCAGAAAGCCAGGGCUAACUCCGUG
RNAcentral lists this ribosomal RNA (497 nucleotides) under uncultured bacterium. RNAcentral describes it as "partial 16S ribosomal RNA". It matches the Rfam family "Bacterial small subunit ribosomal RNA", at positions 28 to 507 of the family's 1533-position model. The record is from RNAcentral.